This 69-nucleotide transfer RNA is filed under the name Rattus norvegicus (Norway rat). It matches the Rfam family "tRNA". From Rfam's summary of the family: Transfer RNA (tRNA) molecules are approximately 80 nucleotides in length. Their secondary structure includes four short double-helical elements and three loops (D, anti-codon, and T loops). Further hydrogen bonds mediate the characteristic L-shaped molecular structure. tRNAs have two regions of fundamental functional importance: the anti-codon, which is responsible for specific mRNA codon recognition, and the 3' end, to which the tRNAs corresponding amino acid is attached (by aminoacyl-tRNA synthetases). tRNAs cope with the degeneracy of the genetic code in two manners: having more than one tRNA (with a specific anti-codon) for a particular amino acid; and 'wobble' base-pairing, i.e. permitting non-standard base-pairing at the 3rd anti-codon position. Lineage: Eukaryota; Metazoa; Chordata; Mammalia; Rodentia; Muridae. The record is from Rfam by way of RNAcentral.
GGGGAUUUAGCUCAGUGGUAGAGCGCUUGCCUAGCAAGCGAAAGGCCCUGGGUUCGGACCCCAACUCCG